GACGAACGCUGGCGGCGUGCUUAACACAUGCAAGUCGAACGGAAAGGCCCUGCUUUUGUGGGGUGCUCGAGUGGCGAACGGGUGAGUAACACGUGAGUAACCUGCCCUUGACUUUGGGAUAACUUCAGGAAACUGGGGCUAAUACCGGAUAGGAGCUCCUGCUGCAUGGUGGGGGUUGGAAAGUUUCGGCGGUUGGGGAUGGACUCGCGGCUUAUCAGCUUGUUGGUGGGGUAGUGGCUUACCAAGGCUUUGACGGGUAGCCGGCCUGAGAGGGUGACCGGCCACAUUGGGACUGCGAUACGGCCCAGACUCCUACGGGAGGCAGCAGUGGGGAAUAUUGCACAAUGGGCGGAAGCCUGAUGCAGCAACGCCGCGUGCGGGAUGACGGCCUUCGGGUUGUAAACCGCUUUCGCCUGUAACGAAGCGUGAGUGACGGUAAUGGGUAAAGAAGCACCGGCUAACUACGUG
This 468-nucleotide ribosomal RNA is filed under the name uncultured bacterium. RNAcentral describes it as "partial 16S ribosomal RNA". It matches the Rfam family "Bacterial small subunit ribosomal RNA", at positions 28 to 507 of the family's 1533-position model. The record is from RNAcentral.